UACGAAGGGGGCGAGCGUUGUUCGGAUUUACUGGGCGUAAAGGGCGCGCAGGCGGCAGACCAAGUCAGGCGUGAAAGCCCCGGGCUUAACCUGGGAACUGCGUCUGGGACUGGUUUGCUAGAGAUCGGGAGAGGAGAGUGGAAUUCCCAGUGUAGAGGUGGAAUGCGUAGAUAUCGGGAGGAACACCAGUGGCGAAGGCGGUUACCUGGAGCUUUGCUGACGCUGAUGCGCGAAAGCGUGGGGAGCGAACAGG
This 253-nucleotide ribosomal RNA is filed under the name uncultured bacterium. RNAcentral's name for it is "partial 16S ribosomal RNA". It matches the Rfam family "Bacterial small subunit ribosomal RNA", at positions 524 to 776 of the family's 1533-position model. The record is from RNAcentral.